CCUCCUUAACGAAAGCUGGAGGUUUCGGUCAGAGUCCACACGAAUUACUUGGUUAACGUGAAGAGAGCAAAAGGGUCUUUGCAGGCCCGACUGGUCUUGUCGAACCGACAAGCAAAACCGGGUCUGUAGCUCAGGUGGUUAGAGCGCACCCCUGAUAAGGGUGAGGUCGGUGGUUCAAGUCCACCCAGACCCACCAGAAUUUCGCUGCUCGUCGUUGCUUCCAGGCUCACGUGCUACUCGCACGCUACACCUGAAAGCGCCUAAAUCAGCAAAAUUCUUGGCUACUGUAAGGGGCUGGUACCUCAAUUGGGAAGAGCGCCUGCCUUGCACGCAGGAGGUCAGCGGUUCA
RNAcentral lists this unclassified non-coding RNA (349 nucleotides) under uncultured Marinobacter sp. RNAcentral describes it as "partial 16S-23S ribosomal RNA intergenic spacer". The stretch from base 120 to 193 matches the Rfam family "tRNA". The record is from RNAcentral. Lineage: Bacteria; Pseudomonadati; Pseudomonadota; Gammaproteobacteria; Pseudomonadales; Marinobacteraceae.